GGGGCUAAAUUUAGUGAUAGAAAGUUUGGCCGAUAACCGAAUUGUUAUAGGUUUGAUUCCUUUUGGUUCUU
RNAcentral lists this transfer RNA (71 nucleotides) under Cephalodiscus hodgsoni. Its description in RNAcentral is "tRNA-Ile". It matches the Rfam family "tRNA". From Rfam's summary of the family: Transfer RNA (tRNA) molecules are approximately 80 nucleotides in length. Their secondary structure includes four short double-helical elements and three loops (D, anti-codon, and T loops). Lineage: Eukaryota; Metazoa; Hemichordata; Pterobranchia; Cephalodiscida; Cephalodiscidae. The record is from RNAcentral.